RNAcentral lists this ribosomal RNA (445 nucleotides) under uncultured bacterium. Its description in RNAcentral is "partial 16S ribosomal RNA". It matches the Rfam family "Bacterial small subunit ribosomal RNA", at positions 29 to 523 of the family's 1533-position model. The record is from RNAcentral.
AGCGAACGCUGGCGGCAGGCUUAACACAUGCAAGUCGAACGCCCCGCAAGGGGUGGCAGACGGGUGAGUAACACGUGGGAACGUACCCUUUGGUUCGGAAUAACUUGGGGAAACUCAAGCUAAUACCGGAUAAGCCCUUAUGGGGAAAGGUUUACUGCCGAAGGAUCGGCCCGCGUCUGAUUAGCUAGUUGGUGAGGUAAUGGCUCACCAAGGCGACGAUCAGUAGCUGGUCUGAGAGGAUGAUCAGCCACACUGGGACUGAGACACGGCCCAGACUCCUACGGGAGGCAGCAGUGGGGAAUAUUGGACAAUGGGGGCAACCCUGAUCCAGCCAUGCCGCGUGAGUGAUGAAGGCCUUAGGGUUGUAAAGCUCUUUUACCCGGGACGAUAAUGACUGUACCGGGAGAAUAAGCCCCGGCUAACUUCGUGCCAGCCGCCGCUGUAA